RNAcentral lists this ribosomal RNA (155 nucleotides) under Amanita orsonii. Its description in RNAcentral is "partial 28S ribosomal RNA". It matches the Rfam family "Eukaryotic large subunit ribosomal RNA", at positions 1 to 152 of the family's 3401-position model. The record is from RNAcentral. Lineage: Eukaryota; Fungi; Basidiomycota; Agaricomycetes; Agaricales; Amanitaceae. RNAcentral also lists the same sequence under 1 other name.
UUGACCUCAAAUCAGGUAGGACUACCCGCUGAACUUAAGCAUAUCAAUAAGCGGAGGAAAAGAAACUAACAAGGAUUCCCUUAGUAACUGCGAGUGAAGAGGGAAAAGCUCAAAUUUAAAAUCUGGCAGUGUUUCACUGUCCGAGUUGUAACCUA